UGUUGGUGUGUGACCUACCCGUAGCUCCGAAUAUGUGUGGGACAAAUUGCACAACACAUAUCGGUCCACGGGAAAGCCACACAUUGACUGA
Non-coding RNA from Brugia malayi, 91 nucleotides. Lineage: Eukaryota; Metazoa; Nematoda; Chromadorea; Rhabditida; Onchocercidae. The record is from RefSeq and is a predicted model, not a curated record.